Molecule: long non-coding RNA, 309 nt
Organism: Telopea speciosissima
Lineage: Eukaryota; Viridiplantae; Streptophyta; Magnoliopsida; Proteales; Proteaceae
Exons: 2
Source: RefSeq, a predicted model, not a curated record
AAAGAGAAACAUACGGUCGCCAAUUUCUUUGCUUGCCCUUCUCACUGAAAGACAAAAGCCCAAGCAUAUGCUAUAAGGGUAAAAACAUACAGACAACAUAUACCUGAGAUCAAACAGGGGAGAGAAUUGGAGUGUACGUUAAACAUAUAGCGCAGAGUGCAGACACAACUAGUUUUCCACGGGAAUACCAAAAACAAACCAUUUCAAAUUCUUGGAAUCUUACCAAAAUAAUAAUUUAUCUGGCAUAUCUUCUCAAUCAGAACACAGAAAAUUCACUAGGAUUACAAACAUACCUAAUGACUUGAAUAU